This 480-nucleotide ribosomal RNA is filed under the name uncultured bacterium. RNAcentral's name for it is "bacterial SSU rRNA". It matches the Rfam family "Bacterial small subunit ribosomal RNA", at positions 32 to 507 of the family's 1533-position model. The record is from RNAcentral.
GACAACGCUGGCGGCGUGCUUAACACAUGCAAGUCGAACGAGAAUCGUACAAAAGGAGGAUUCGUCCAACGGAGUACGAGGACAGUGGCGGACGGGUGAGUAACGCGUGAGUAACCUGCCUUUCAGAGGGGGACAACAGUUGGAAACGACUGCUAAUACCGCAUAACGCAGCGGGGUCGCAUGACCUUGCUGUCAAAGAUUUAUCGCUGAAAGAUGGACUCGCGUCUGAUUAGCUAGUUGGUGAGGUAAAGGCCCACCAAGGCGACGAUCAGUAGCCGGACUGAGAGGUUGACCGGCCACAUUGGGACUGAGAUACGGCCCAGACUCCUACGGGAGGCAGCAGUGGGGAAUAUUGGGCAAUGGGCGCAAGCCUGACCCAGCAACGCCGCGUGAAGGAAGAAGGCUUUCGGGUUGUAAACUUCUUUUGUCAGGGAAGAGUAGAAGACUGUACCUGGCGAAUAAGCCACGGCUAACUACGUG